ACGAACGCUGGCGGCGUGCUUAACACCUGCAAGUCGUACGGUAAGGCCCUUUCGGGGGUCCACGAGUGGCGAACGGGUGAGUAACACGUGAGUAACCUGCCCACAACUUUGGGAUAACGCUAGGAAACUGGUGCUAAUACUGGAUAUGUGCUCCUGCUGCAUGGUGGGGGUUGGAAAGCUCCGGCGGUUGUGGAUGGACUCGCGGCCUAUCAGCUUGUUGGUGGGGUAGUGGCCUACCAAGGCGGCGACGGGUAGCCGGCCUGAGAGGGUGACCGGCCACAUUGGGACUGAGAUACGGCCCAGACUCCGACGGGAGGCAGCAGUGGGGAAUAUUGCACAAUGGGCGCAAGCCUGAUGCAGCAACGCCGCGUGCGGGAUAACGGCCUUCGGGUUGUAAACCGCUUUCAGCAGGGACGAAGCUUUUUGUGACGGUACCUGCAGAAGAAGCACCGGCUAACUACGUG
This 464-nucleotide ribosomal RNA is filed under the name uncultured bacterium. RNAcentral describes it as "partial 16S ribosomal RNA". It matches the Rfam family "Bacterial small subunit ribosomal RNA", at positions 29 to 507 of the family's 1533-position model. The record is from RNAcentral.